AGUUCGAUCCUGGCUCAGAUUGAACGCUGGCGGGAUGCUUUACACAUGCAAGUCGAACGGCAGCACGGACUUCGGUCUGGUGGCGAGUGGCGAACGGGUGAGUAAUGUAUCGGAACGUGCCCUAGUAGCGGGGGAUAACUACGCGAAAGCGUAGCUAAUACCCGCAUACGCCCUUCGGGGAAAGCGGGGGACCUUCGGGCCUCGCACUAUUAGAGCGGCCGAUAUCGGAUUAGCUAGUUGGUGGGGUAACGGCUCACCAAGGCGACGAUCCGUAGCUGGUUUGAGAGGACGACCAGCCACACUGGGACUGAGACACGGCCCAGACUCCACUACGGGGAGGCAGCAGUGGGGGUACGGACAAUGGAAACUCAGUCCAGCCAUCCCGCGUGUGCGAUGAAGGCCUUCGGGUUGUAAAGCACUUUUGGCAGGAAAGAAACGGCACGGGAUAAUACCCGAUGCAACUGACGGUACCUGCAGAAUAAGCACCGGCUAACUACGUGCCAGCAGCCGCGGUAAUACGUAGGGUGCAAGCGUUAAUCAGGUACUGGGCGUAAAGCGUGCGCAGGCGGUUCGAGGAAGAAGAUGUGAAAUCCCAGAGCUUAACUUUGGGAACUGCAUUUUUAACUACCGAGCUAGAGUGUGUCAGAGGAGGUGGAAUUCCGCGUGUAGCAGUGAAAUGCGUAGAUAUGCGGAGGAACACCGAUGGCGAAGGCAGCCUCCUGGGAUAACACUGACGCUCAUGCACGAAAGCGUGGGAGCAAACAGGAUUAGAUACCCUGGUAGUCCACGCCCUAAACGAUGUCAACUAGCUGUUGGGGCCUUCGGGCCUUGGUAGCGCAGCUAACGCGUGAAGUUGACCGCCUGGGGAAGCUACGGUCGCAAGAUUAAAACUCAAAGGAAUUAUUGGGGACCCGCACAAGCGGUGGAUGAUGUGGAUUAAUUCGAUGCAACGCGAAAAACCUUACCUACCCUUGACAUGUCUGGAAUCCCGAAGAGAUUUGGGAGUGCUCGCAAGAGAACCGGAACACAGGUGCUGCAUGGCUGUCGUCAGCUCGUGUCGUGAGAUGUUGGGUUAAGUCCCGCAACAGGCGCAACCCUUGUCAUUAGUUGCUACGAAAGGGCACUCUAAUGAGACUGCCGGUGACAAACCGGAGGAAGGUGGGGAUGACGUCAGAGUCACCAUGGCCCUUAUGGGUAGGGCUUCACGUCAUACAAUGGUCGGGACAGAGGGUCGCCAACCCGCGAGAGGAGCCAAUCCCAGAAACCCGAUCGUAGUCCGGAUCGCAGUCUGCAACUCGACUGCGUGAAGUCGGAAUCGCUAGUAAUCGCGGAUCAACAUGUCGCGGUGAAUACGGUCCCGGGUCUUGUACACACCGCCCGUCACACCAUGGGAGUGGGUUUUACCAGAAUGAUUAGCCUAACCGUAAGGAGGGCGAUUACCACGGUAGGAUUCAUGACUGGGGUGAAGUCGUAACAAGGUAG
RNAcentral lists this ribosomal RNA (1482 nucleotides) under uncultured Bordetella sp. RNAcentral describes it as "partial 16S-23S ribosomal RNA intergenic spacer". It matches the Rfam family "Bacterial small subunit ribosomal RNA". Lineage: Bacteria; Pseudomonadati; Pseudomonadota; Betaproteobacteria; Burkholderiales; Alcaligenaceae. The record is from RNAcentral.